This 378-nucleotide ribosomal RNA is filed under the name uncultured bacterium. Its description in RNAcentral is "bacterial SSU rRNA". It matches the Rfam family "Bacterial small subunit ribosomal RNA", at positions 114 to 507 of the family's 1533-position model. The record is from RNAcentral.
CGCGUGGGUAACCUGCCUCACACUGGGGGAUAACACUUAGAAAUAGGUGCUAAUACCGCAUGAGCGCACAGUCCUGCAUGGGACAGUGUGAAAAACUCCGGUGGUGUGAGAUGGACCCGCGUCUGAUUAGCCAGUUGGCGGGGUAACGGCCCACCAAAGCGACGAUCAGUAGCCGGCCUGAGAGGGUGAACGGCCACAUUGGGACUGAGACACGGCCCAAACUCCUACGGGAGGCAGCAGUGGGGAAUAUUGGACAAUGGGGGGAACCCUGAUCCAGCGACGCCGCGUGAGUGAAGAAGUAUUUCGGUAUGUAAAGCUCUAUCAGCAGGGAAGAAAGAAAUGACGGUACCUGACCAAGAAGCCCCGGCUAACUACGUG